UAGGGAAUAUUGGGCAAUGGACGCAAGUCUGACCCAGCCAUGCCGCGUGCAGGAAGAAGGCGUUAUGCGUUGUAAACUGCUUUUAUACAGGAAGAAACGACUCUUGCGAGAGGCAUUGACGGUACUGUAUGAAUAAGCACCGGCUAACUCCGUGCCAGCAGCCGCGGUAAUACGGAGGGUGCAAGCGUUGUCCGGAUUUAUUGGGUUUAAAGGGUGCGCAGGUGGUUUAUUAAGUCAGUGGUGAAAGACGGUCGCUCAACGAUUGCAGUGCCAUUGAAACUGGUAGACUUGAGUAAAGUAGAGGUGGGCGGAAUUGAUAGUGUAGCGGUGAAAUGCAUAGAUAUUAUCAAGAACUCCAAUUGCGUAGGCAGCUCACUUGGCUUUUACUGACACUCAUGCACGAAAGUGUGGGUAUCAAACAGGAUUAGAUACCCUGGUAGUCCACACUGUAAACGAUGAUAACUAGGUGUCGGCCGAAUCUGGUCGGUGCCACAGCGAAAGCGUUAAGUUAUCCACCUGGGGAGUACGCCGGCAACGGUG
RNAcentral lists this ribosomal RNA (540 nucleotides) under uncultured Cytophagales bacterium. RNAcentral's name for it is "bacterial SSU rRNA". It matches the Rfam family "Bacterial small subunit ribosomal RNA", at positions 355 to 896 of the family's 1533-position model. Lineage: Bacteria; Pseudomonadati; Bacteroidota; Sphingobacteriia; Sphingobacteriales. The record is from RNAcentral.